Molecule: ribosomal RNA, 1476 nt
Filed under: uncultured prokaryote
Description: partial 16S ribosomal RNA
Rfam family: Bacterial small subunit ribosomal RNA
Source: RNAcentral
GACGAACGCUGGCGGCGUGCUUAACACAUGCAAGUCGAACGAGUCUCUCCAAUGAAGUUUGAAGCUUCGGCCGAUAACUGAUUUGGGCUCAAAGGUGAGUGGCGAACGGGUGAGUAACGCGUGGAUAAUCUGCCCUAAAGACAGGGAUAACCUUGGGAAACCAGGGCUAAUACCGGAUAAUGUCUGUUUUCAUAUGAUUUCAGACCAAAUGCUCCGGCGCUUUAGGAUGAGUCCGCGUAUCAUUAGCUUGUUGGUAGGGUAAAGGCCUACCAAGGCGACGAUCAUUAGCCGGCCUUAGAGGGCGAUCGGCCACACUGGAACUGAGACACGGUCCAGACUCCUACGGGAGGCAGCAGUGAGGAAUUUUGCGCAAUGGGCGAAAGCUUGACGCAGCGACGCCGCGUGGAGGAUGAAGGCCUUCGGGUGGAAGAAGUUAACAUCAUCUAAUAGGUGUUGUUAUUGACGGUACCUGUAGAGGAAGCACCGGCUAACUCCGUGCCAGCAGCCGCGGUAAUACGGGGGGUGCAAGCGUUAUUCGGAAUUAUUGGGCGUAAAGGGCGCGUAGGCGGUCUUGUCGGUCAGAUGUGAAAGCCCGGGGCUCAACCCUGGAAGUGCAUUUGAAACAGCAAGACUUGAGUACUGGAGAGGAGAGCGGAAUUCCUGGUGUAGAGGUGAAAUUCGUAGAUAUCAGGAGGAACACCGAUGGCGAAGGCAGCUCUCUGGACAGAUACUGACGCUGAGGCGCGAAGGCGUGGGUAGCGAACAGGAUUAGAUACCCUGGUAGUCCACGCAGUAAACGUUGUUCACUCGGUGUGGCGGAUCUUAAAAUCUGCUGUGCCUAAGCUAACGCAUUAAGUGAACCGCCUGGGGAGUACGGUCGCAAGACUAAAACUCAAAGGAAUUGACGGGGGCCCGCACAAGCGGUGGAGCAUGUGGUUUAAUUCGACGCAACGCGAAGAACCUUACCUGGGUUUGACAUCCUGUGAAUCUUUGAGAGAUCAAAGAGUGCCUUCGGGAACACAGUGACAGGGUGGUGCACGGUUGUCGUCAGCUCGUGUCGUGAGAUGUUGGGUUAAGUCCCGCAACGAGCGCAACCCUUGUCCUAUGUUACCAGCGGUUCGGCCGGGGACUCAUAGGAGACUGCCGAGGUUAACUGGGAGGAAGGCGGGGAUGACGUCAAGUCCUCAUGGCCCUUAUAUCCAGGGCUACACACGUGCUACAAUGGCCGGUACAACGGGCUGCAACGGAGCAAUCCUGAGCGAAUCUCUUAAAACCGGUCUCAGUUCGGAUUGGAGUCUGCAACUCGACUCCAUGAAGUUGGAAUCGCUAGUAAUCGCGAAUCAGCAACGUCGCGGUGAAUACGUUCCCGGGUCUUGUACACACCGCCCGUCACACCACGAAAGUCGGUAACACCCGAAGCCAGUGGCCUAACCCUUUGGGAAGGAGCUGUCGAAGGUGGGACCAGCGAUUGGGGUG